UGAUCCUGGACGCGGGCAAGGAGUUGAUUUAUCUGUGAGAGACGGAAACGUGACAGCUAAGUGCUAACAGGAUGCAGUGAUAAUGAACACAACCUAAUUACCUCAGACCACACUCCAGCUGUUCAACGUGAACUGGAUUUUGUUAAACUGUCAAUGACUCAUUGGGUCUGGCAGAAGCUCCGUAACGUCUCAAAAGCAACUUGAAACUGCAUCAACCACUGCCACAAUUCAUUGGCUUUAUCACUGCAACCAGAGACACAAAUGGUGUAAAUUCAGGACUAGUUUGGUGUCGUUGGUGGAAGGUGUUCCAGUAGGCAGCUGGUGUAGUUUAGCAGGUGUCUGAGCAGAAGAUGGCAGGCGUUGACAGUCAGAAUGUGACAGGAACUCACGAAAAAAAGCAAAAACCCACAAAGGUCACUCACCAUUUGUGACGAAUUUACUCUUGGCUGCGAACACCU
This is a long non-coding RNA of Sinocyclocheilus anshuiensis, 458 nucleotides long. RefSeq lists it as uncharacterized. The record is from RefSeq and is a predicted model, not a curated record. NCBI's taxonomy places the organism in Eukaryota, Metazoa, Chordata, Actinopteri, Cypriniformes, Cyprinidae. The transcript is spliced from 4 exons.